This 74-nucleotide transfer RNA is filed under the name Janthinobacterium sp. ROICE36. RNAcentral describes it as "tRNA-Gly". It matches the Rfam family "tRNA". Rfam says of the family: Transfer RNA (tRNA) molecules are approximately 80 nucleotides in length. Their secondary structure includes four short double-helical elements and three loops (D, anti-codon, and T loops). The record is from RNAcentral. Lineage: Bacteria; Pseudomonadati; Pseudomonadota; Betaproteobacteria; Burkholderiales; Oxalobacteraceae.
GCGGGCGUAGCUCAAUGGUAGAGCCGAAGCCUUCCAAGCUUUGAACGCGGGUUCGAUUCCCGCCUCCCGCUCCA